UUGACAGUUUGGCUUCCCUGUUCUGGGUGGCAAAGCCUGUGGAGUACUCACCUACCUGCUGCAUGAAGGCAGCAUGGAGGGACUGUGGUGGAUUAUCUGCAAAGAUGGCCAAAAUUCUCUCAUCCCUGCAGGCACAUACAAGAUGCCAGAAUCAGUCAAAACUAAGCUCACUGUCCUUGCUAAUAUUCUGCCCCAGAGAAGAACUGAAGCUCAGCUCUUCACCCUACAGAAAGCCUGAAUUUUGUAAAUGUUCUGCUUAGAAUGAGGAAGAAAGAUGAAGAAUGAGGAGGAAGAAGGAAGGAACGAGAGAGAGGUUGUUGCAUGGCAUAAGUAAAGUGACAGUUAUAGGAUACAUGCAACUUUUCAGUGACAAAGAUCUGUGCAGCAUCGACAGUACUGCCUAAUGAGGUUUCACCAUAAUGAAGUAUCACAACCAGUUUACAGACCAGAAAACUGAGACACAGGAAGGGGUGGUGACUUGAGCAAGGUGCAUCAGCUGCCAGGUUUCCAGAAGUUCCCCAGUCAUUGAGCAUUUCUGAGGCUCUUGAUGCAUAUGCCAAGUAGUUAUGGAGAAAGACACAGCAGCUUACCUCUGCAGGCAUCAUUGUGUGAAAGGAAGACCCAGGCUCUCUCACCACCCUUGAACAGAAGCCUUUUGCUAAGGUGAUAGCUACAUGUCCAAGCCUAUUGCGUGGCAUGCAUUUUGCCUUCUGCAGCCCACUAAAGGAAAUUGAAGUAUACAGAAUGCUUAUUUGGUCUACUCAGUAUCAUCCUAAAUGUAUGUACCAAUGCUUAGGAGUUUGCAGUUCACCCGCAAACCUCAGCGAUCCAAGCUCCCCUGGA
RNAcentral lists this long non-coding RNA (843 nucleotides) under Homo sapiens (human). RNAcentral's name for it is "long intergenic non-protein coding RNA 3156". The record is from RNAcentral. Lineage: Eukaryota; Metazoa; Chordata; Mammalia; Primates; Hominidae.